UUAAGUCCGUAACGAGCGCAACCUUGUCCUUAGUUACCAGCACGUUAUGGUGGGCACUCUAAGGAGACUGCCGGUGCAACCGAGGAAGUGGGAUGACGUCAAGUCAUCAUGGCCCUUACGGCCUGGGCUACACACGUGCUACAAUGGUCGGUACAAAGGGUUGCCAAGCCGCGAGGUGGAGCUAAUCCCAUAAAACCGAUCGUAGUCCGGAUCGCAGUCUGCAACUCGACUGCGUGAAGUCGGAAUCGCUAGUAAUCGUGAAUCAGAAUGUCACGGUGAAUACGUUCCCGGGCCUU
RNAcentral lists this ribosomal RNA (296 nucleotides) under uncultured Pseudomonas sp. Its description in RNAcentral is "partial 16S ribosomal RNA". It matches the Rfam family "Bacterial small subunit ribosomal RNA", at positions 1080 to 1382 of the family's 1533-position model. The record is from RNAcentral. Lineage: Bacteria; Pseudomonadati; Pseudomonadota; Gammaproteobacteria; Pseudomonadales; Pseudomonadaceae.